This is an RNA transcript of Labeo rohita (rohu), 7160 nucleotides long. It is a transcript of the gene named lymphocyte cytosolic protein 2a, with no coding region annotated. The transcript is spliced from 8 exons. NCBI's taxonomy places the organism in Eukaryota, Metazoa, Chordata, Actinopteri, Cypriniformes, Cyprinidae. The record is from RefSeq and is a predicted model, not a curated record.
GUGUCUAAUCGUUGCCACGGAGACAAAGAUGUAGCUGUCAUAGUUUCUACUGAAUAUUCAGUAAAUAUUUCCUUAUAUUCUUGGCAAUAAAAAUAACUGGAAGUUAUACUAUACUAUAGGCGACUGCAGUUUGAUCAGAGAGCGGCUUUGGUUUGACCACUUUUGAAAAUAGAGUAGCAACGGCACUUGUUUACGACAGCGACACGCUUUACGGCAUCACCAUAGCAAAAUGGCGUCCGGCAGUGGGUCCAAGAAUGAUUUUCGUCGCAAAUGGGACAAAGAUGAAUAUGAACAGCUGGCCCAGAAACGACUCACAGAAGAGAGAGACAAAAAAGAUGGCAAGCCUGUGCCCCCCGUCAAGCGGGAGCUUCUCCGCCACAGAGAUUAUAAAGUGGAUCUGGAGUCAAAACUGGGAAAGACUAUUGUCAUCACAAAGACCACACCACAGGCUGAGAUGGGAGGAUACUACUGCAAUGUCUGUGAUUGUGUAGUAAAAGAUUCCAUAAAUUUCUUGGAUCAUAUCAAUGGCAAAAAACAUCAAAGAAACCUGGGAAUGUCCAUGCGAGUAGAACGCUCUUCAUUGGACCAAGUUAAAAAACGUUUUGAAGUAAACAAGAAAAAGCUGGAGGAAAAGCAGAAGGAGUACGAUUUUGAGGAACGAAUGAAGGAGUUGCGAGAGGAGGAGGAGAAAGCAAAAGCCUACAGAAAAGAAAAGCAAAAGGAAAAGAAAAGAAAGGCUGAAGAAGAUCUCAACUUUGAAGAUGAUGAUGAAAUGGCUGCUGUGAUGGGAUUCUCAGGUUUUGGAUCCUCCAAAAAAGGCCACUGAUCACUCAUUUUAAAAGUUUGCUCACCAAGGCCUUCUCUGAAUAGGUAUCCCUGAACUGUAUGAAAAUUUUCAAGAACUUCAUUAUUGUUUUACAGGACCGCACAGCUUUUUAUCACACAUUCUGUUAAAUACUUCUGAUUCAAUACACGUGGUUGGUUAACCAGUUUUCGGCCCUUGAUCAUAGAACAUCAGCAUAACUCCAUCAAUCUAAAUUGAUCUCCUUGUUAUAAUGAAGUUUUUGUUAUAAGUUCAUUGUGUAAAUAGGGCUGCAUAUACAUAAAUGUUUUUUGACUUGUGUCUGAAAUUACCCUCUUAUACCUUCCACACAAUGCAACAGAAAAGGUUAAAAUUAAAACAACAUGACCUCUUUUGAAGACAAGACUUGAUGCUUCUAUUCCCCAGUGUCUUUGUAGAUGUGGGGCAGACAAGGGAAUGGAAAACCUGUUAAAGUUGUGUAAUUAUAGAUUUUUUUUUAUUAUAAGGGGACUGAUAGAUUGUAAUUUGUGGUUAUUUUACAUUAAAAAUAUUGUCUAACAACCUUCUCAGAGUUUUCUAGUGUAUUAAAGUACAAUAAAAUACUGACGUAAAGAUUUCUUUAUACAUUUACAUUUAGUCAUUUAGCAGAUGCUUUUAUCCAAAGCGAUUUACAAAUGAGGACAAUAGAAGCGAUCAAGAUCAACAAAAGAGCAAUAAUAUGUAAGUGCUGUGACAAGUCUAAGUUAGUCUAAUGUAGUACCUAUAACAAGGUGUUAUAAGGUAAAAAGAAAACAAGUAGAUGGAAUAGAAAAAUAAUAGAGAAUGUGUGUGGUAGAGGGUCAAUUUAAAAAAGGGGUUAAUUUUAAAUAAAGUCGAAAGAAUAGAGAAUGCUAUUGUUAAAGGGUUUUUUUUAAUAAAUAAAAAGAAAACCAGGUUAAAAGAAUAGAGAACGCUAGUAUUAGAGGGUUAGUUUUUUUUUUAAUAAAAAAAAAAAAGUCAAAAGAAUGGACCCUCUAACAAUAGCAUUCUCUAUUUUUUAUAUGAAUAAAACAAAUAGAGAACACUAGUAUUAAAGGGUUAAUUUUUUAAUAAAUAAAAAGGAAAAAAGUCAAAAGAACAGAAAAAGAAUAGUGAACACUAGUGUUAGAGAUUAAUUAUUUUUAAAUAAAAAGAAAACAAGCCGAAAGAAUAGAAAAAGAAUAGAAAACACUAGUGUUAUAGGGUUAGUUUAAAAAAAAAAAAAAAAUUCAAAUAAAGUCAAAAGAAUAGACCCUCUAACAAUAGCAUUCUCUCUCUUUUUUUAAUAUAUGAAAAGAAAAUUAGAAUAGAGAAUGCUAGUAUUAGAGGGUUAUUUUUUUAAUAAAUAAAAAGAAUAGUGAACACUAGUGUUGAAAGGGUUAAUUUUUUGAAAUAAAUAAAAAGCAAACAAAUCGAAAGAAUAGGAAAAAGAAUAGAAUAUGUUAGUGUUAGAGGGUUGAUUUUUUUUUUUUUUUUUUUUUUUUUUAAAUAAAUAACAAGAAUAGUGAACACCAGUGUUAAUUUUUUUUAAAGAAGAAAACAAGCCGAAUAAAUAGAAAAGGAAUAACACUCAUGUUAAAGGGUUAAUUUAUUUAAAUAAAUAAAAAGCCAAAAAGUCGAAAGAAUAGGAAAAAGAAAAGAAAACGCUGGUGUUAGUUUUUUUUUUUUUUUAAUAAAAAGAAGUCAAAAGAAUAGAGAACACUAAUGUCAGAGGGUCUAUUUAAAAAAAAAAAAAAAAAAAAAAAAAAACAAGAAUAGAGAAUGCUAGUAUUAGAGGGUUAUUUUUUAAUAAAUAAGAAUAGUGAACACUAAAAUGUUUUUUUUUUUUUUAAGAAGGAAAAAAAGCAGAAAGAAUAGAAAACACUCACGUAAAGGGUUAAUUUUUUAAAAUAAAUUAAAAUCAAACAAGUCAAAAGGAUAAAAAAAAGCUAGUGUUAAACGGUUCAUUUUUUUCUAAGAAAUAAAAAUAAAACAAGCCGAAAGAAUAGAAAAGGAAUAGAGAAUACUAAUGUUAGAGGGUCUAUUUUUUAUAAAUAAAAAGAAAACAAGAAUAGAGAAUGCUAGUAUUAGAGGGUUUUUUUUUAAUAAAUAAGAAGAAUAGUGAACACUAGUGUUAAAUGUUUUUUUUUAAGAAGAAGAAAAAAGCCGAAAGAAUAGAAAAGGAAUAGAAAACACUCACGUUAAAGGGUUAAUUUUUUUAAAUAAAUUAAAAUCAAACAAGUCAAAAGAAUAAAAAAAAUAACCCUUUAACACUAGUGUUUUCUAAGAAAUAAAAAUAAAACAAUUCAAAAGAAUAGAAAAAGAAUAGAGAAUGCUAAUAUUAGAUGGUUAAUUUUUUAAAAUAAAUAAAGAAUAGUGAACACUAGUGUAAAUUUUUUUUUUUUUAAGAAGAAAAAAGCCGUAAGAAUUGAAAACACUCGCGUUAAAGGGUUAUUUUUUUUAAAUAAAUAAAAAGCAAACAAGUCGAAAGAAUAGGAAAAGGAAUAGAAAACGCUAGUGUUAGAGGGUUAUUUUUUUUGUUCAAGAAAUACAUUUUUAAAAUAAAAAAGAAAAUAAGUCGAAAGAAUAGUGAACACUAGUGUUAGAGGGUCUAUUUGUUAAUAAAAAGAAAACAAGUUGAAAGAAUGGAGAAUGCUAGUGUUAGAGGAUUAAUAAAAAAAAUAAAUAAAUAAGAAUAGUGCACAUUAGUGUUAGAGGAUUAAUUAAAAAAUAUAUAAAUAAAAAGAAUAGCACACGCUAGUUUUAGAGGGUUAAUUUUUUUUAAAGAAAAAGAUAAGUCAAAAGAAUAGAGAUCACUAGUGUUAAAGGGUUCAUUUUUUUAAAGAAAUAAAAUUAAACAAACUGAAAAUAGAAAAAAAUAGAUAACUAGUGUUAAGUUUAGUAUAUAUAUAUUUUUUUUUAAAAAAAAUAAUAGAGAACACUAGUAUUAGAGGGUCAGUUAUGUUAAAUAAAAAGUGAACAAGUUGAAAGAAUAAAAAAAGAAUAGAGAAUGGCAGUGUUAGGGAGGUUUUUUUUUCUUCAAAAAAUAAAAGAAAACAAGUCAUAAGAAUAGAGAAUGCUAACAAUUAAUUAAAAAAGUAGUUAGAACAGAAAUAGAAUACAUACACACACACAUAUAUAUGUGUGAAAUGUUAGUGUUUCAGUUCCUUUUAUUAGUUUUAUUAGUAUUAGUUUUUUUAAUUACUUCAGUUACAGCGUUUUUUUUUGUUUGUUUGUUUUUUUUUACUUUAUGCAAGUGCAUAUAAUGAAAAUUAUAUAAUAUAUCAACUUAAUUCAGUAAUUAAGAAUUUCUAGCUUGACUAAUUACCAAAACUAAAGUAAAACAAAAGUUUUAGGUGCUAUUGAUUUUUAAAGUACAUCACCACCUGGUGGUGCUAUUGGAUCCCAUAAGUUUACUAUGGCAAAUGAAAAAUUACAUUUGGCAAAAUAAUCAAUAAAACACCAUAAAGUCAAAAGUCAGCAACGACCAUUCUAAAUCAUUUCCAAAUUUUCAAAAAUGCCAAUUCACUACAUUAAUAUUCCAACAAAAAGACCAACCAAAAUGUGAAUUCGUAAGGGGAAGCGGCUCAGUUGUUCAUACAAGUUCUCACAGACACAUAUGGUGACACGUGCCAGAGGGUUCUGUCCUUUCAUUAGCCUACAAAUGCCAUUUCCAUUGUGCACCGAUAAAGAGGAAAUAUAACGUGUCUGUUGUAUCAAAAAUGAGGAAAAACUGAGCAGCAGUGACAGGUUUAUGAUCUCCAAAAACAAACAUGUAGUUAUUGAGACUGUAGACUCAGUUAUAAACUGCAUCAUCAAUCACAAAAUGUUCAAAUAAUUGAAUUUAAAAUAGAAACAAGGAAGGAAAAGGGUUGUUUUUAGUGUUUCUUAAGAGUCACUACGAAAACGUACCAUGUAACGUCAGUUUCCACUAAAAUAAACUAUGCGUAAUGUCUCGACAGAAUUCAGUGUGGGAGCUCCAUAAAACAUUAUUGACAUAUAAACAACAGGAUGACAUUACUCUGAAUCAAGACCGCUGACUUCACCCUUAAAACAGAUUUUAAUACACCCACUGAACCACCUUCUUAUUUCGUAAGCAGCCAGGAAAUGGAAAUAUCUGUGUGACAAGGCACACAGGCAGGGGUUAUUGUGUACUGGUGCAUGACAUCAAGUAAAUGCAAUAUGAUAAUCAUAUCUGAACAUCCGUUUACAGGUUUGCGAAUCAUAUGCACCUUACAGCUAUAUCACAGCGGAUAUUUAGUGAUAGAAGAACAUUUUGAGAAAUAUUUCCAUGAACUAACCCCUAGAACAGGAGCAACUGAAAGCUCAAAACUCAUAGUUUCCAGUUGUGGGUGUUAAAUGCAAACUGUUCAGGGACUGAACCAGCCACUGUGUUGCAGGUUUCAUGAUCCACAUAACCAUUCACACAAAGUGACUUUUGAUUGAAAAAGCUGCAUGGUUCUCCCAAUACGGGGUAAUUUUAAAAUAAAACAUGCUUUAAAAAUCGUACAAUUUAACCAGGUUUGCGUUUAAAAAAAUCUAAACGUUAAAUCUAUAUUUAAAUAAUAAGUGAAAUAUUUAACUUGGGAAGCCUCAACUAAUGGUGAAUAAAACUCUGGACUAAAAUAUAAAACACAAAAAAAAAAUAGUUAUAAUGAAAUUACAGCUUUGGUGAAUAUAUGAUUUGUGUUGUAAACUUCCAAACGUUAUAAAAAAAAAUGUUUGCAAAGAAAGCCACCAUGAUAACACUUUGCUUGUGCUUAUGAAAAAUCAAAACUAAAAUUUAAGAAUCACAUGACGUGCAACAAGCAAGAUAAGGUACACCAGUCAAAAGAUUUUUGAACUAAGAUUUUUCAAGUUUUACUUAUUUGAUCCAAAGUACGGCAAAAAACUGUAAAAUUGUGUAAUAUUCGUACUAUAUAAAAUAACUGAUUUCUAUUUGAAUAUAUUUUAAAAUAUAAUUUAUUCUUGUGAUUUCAAAGCUGAAUUUUUAUCAUCAUUACUCCAGUCACAUGAUCCUUGAAAUCAUUCUAAUAUUCCAAUUUGCUGCUCAAAAACAUUUAUUAUUAUUAUUAUUCUGAAAACGGCUGAGUAGAAUUUUUUUCAGGUUUCUUUGAUGAAAAGAAAGAUCAGAGGAACAGCAUUUAUCUGAAAUAGAAAUCGUUUGUAACAUUAUAAAUGUCUUUAUCAUCAAUGCAUUACUUUUGAUCAAUUUAAAACAUCCUUGCUAAAUAAAAGUAUUAAUUUAUAUAAUUUCUACCCCUAAAAUAUAUAUAUAUAUAUAUAUGUACUGACUCUUUUGAAUGGUGUAAUGUUGCAAAAGCUUUUUAUUUCACAUAAAUGCUAAUCUUUGGAUCUUUCUAUUCAUCAGAGUGUCCUGAAAAUCUUUUAUUAUUGAUACUAAUAAAAUGUUUCUUGAACAGCAAAUCAGAAUGAUUUCUGAAAGAUCAUGUGACACUGAAGAAUGAGUAAUGAUGCUGAAAACUGUAUCUUUGAUUACAGGAGUAAAUUACAUUUUAAAAUAUAUUCAAAUAGAAAGCAGUUAUUUUAAAUAGUAAAAAUAUUUCACAAAAUUACUGCCUUCGCUGUGUUUUGGCGAGCAGAAGAGAAUUCUUAAAAAAAAAAAAAACAUACAAUCUUACUGUUCAAAAACUUUUGACUGGUAGUGUAGAUAAUGAGGCAAAUAUAUAAAAAAUAAUACUGUAGUUUUAAACUUGCGUUUUGUGUCCUGGAUCUCACCAAAUACUAAAAUGAACCUCAGAUUGAGCCCAGCAGUUCAUAAUGUCCAAUGCUUAUAGGCUAAACUGGCUGGAGGGGUGACGAUGAAUUAUAGUAUAUUAAGAAAUAACUUUUUUUUUUUUUCAUGAAGGGGCUGUACUUCCCCUAUUUGUAACAACAAUCAUUAACAGGAAGUCUAAGGGGAAGUAGAUGUCAUUCUUUCUUUUCAUACUGAGCUCAGGCGAAUCCGGGGUGUUGGGCUUUUUAGUUAUUUUUGAGAAUGUUGGUAGAAUUUUGAGUAAUUCUCCCGCUUCUACAUUUGUUGUGAUUCUGUCACUAAAGUAUUAUCUCUUUCUUCUUUGAUUUUUUUUUUGGGGUUUAGCACCAGUCUUCUUAUGUUCUCAGUAGGCAUAGUGUCAGGCAUAGUGUGAAUACUGCAACAAGUCACUGCGAGAGUGGCAACAUAUUUUUCAAUGCUUGAAGGUGUCUUAGAUUUGAUAUUCAUAAGUAAGUGCAGCACAUUUGGAAUAAUGAGUUCUGAUAUUCCAUCCAAAGCUGAGGUUCAAAGCUGGGAUCCACAACGGUUAGCAGACUUUCUGAAGAGGCGCAAUCUGACUGGGUGUGACAAGGUUGUGAUACGUUA